UGCCGAAGAGAUUUGGCAGUGCUCGCAAGAGAACCGGAACACAGGUGCUGCAUGGCUGUCGUCAGCUCGUGUCGUGAGAUGUUGGGUUAAGUCCCGCAACGAGCGCAACCCUUGUCAUUAGUUGCUACGAAAGGGCACUCUAAUGAGACUGCCGGUGACAAACCGGAGGAAGGUGGGGGAUGACGUCAAGUCCUCAUGGCCCUUAUGGGUAGGGCUUCACACGUCAUACAAUGGUCGGGACAGAGGGUCGCCAACCCGCGAGGGGGAGCCAAUCCCAGAAACCCGAUCGUAGUCCGGAUUGCAGGCUGCAACUCGCCUGCAUGAAGUCGGAAUCGCUAGUAAUCGCGGAUCAGCAUGUCGCGGUGAAUACGUUCCCGGGUCUU
RNAcentral lists this ribosomal RNA (383 nucleotides) under uncultured Achromobacter sp. RNAcentral's name for it is "bacterial SSU rRNA". It matches the Rfam family "Bacterial small subunit ribosomal RNA", at positions 996 to 1382 of the family's 1533-position model. Lineage: Bacteria; Pseudomonadati; Pseudomonadota; Betaproteobacteria; Burkholderiales; Alcaligenaceae. The record is from RNAcentral.